GAUGAACGCUGGCGGCGUGCUUAACACAUGCAAGUCGAACGGAAAGGCCCAAGCUUGCUUGGGUACUCGAGUGGCGAACGGGUGAGUAACACGUGGGUGAUCUGCCCUGCACUUCGGGAUAAGCCUGGGAAACUGGGUCUAAUACCGGAUAGGACCACAUUUUGGAUGGUGUGGUGGAAAGUUUUUCGGUGUGGGAUGAGCUCGCGGCCUAUCAGCUUGUUGGUGGGGUAAUGGCCUACCAAGGCGUCGACGGGUAGCCGGCCUGAGAGGGUGUACGGCCACAUUGGGACUGAGAUACGGCCCAGACUCCUACGGGAGGCAGCAGUGGGGAAUAUUGCACAAUGGGCGCAAGCCUGAUGCAGCGACGCCGCGUGGGGGAUGACGGCCUUCGGGUUGUAAACUCCUUUCGCCAGGGACGAAGCGUUAUGUGACGGUACCUGGAGAAGAAGCACCGGCUAACUACGU
RNAcentral lists this ribosomal RNA (465 nucleotides) under uncultured bacterium. Its description in RNAcentral is "partial 16S ribosomal RNA". It matches the Rfam family "Bacterial small subunit ribosomal RNA", at positions 28 to 506 of the family's 1533-position model. The record is from RNAcentral.